Ficedula albicollis (Collared flycatcher) is the source of this 640-nucleotide long non-coding RNA. RefSeq lists it as uncharacterized. The record is from RefSeq and is a predicted model, not a curated record. NCBI's taxonomy places the organism in Eukaryota, Metazoa, Chordata, Aves, Passeriformes, Muscicapidae. The transcript is spliced from 3 exons.
GUCCCUGCCCGUGGCACAGAGUGGAAGGAGCUGGGUUUUGGUUCAUUCUGCUUGUGUUCCCGCCUUCUGGAUCUCUCUUCAGGCAGUCCAUUUCACUGGAGCUGUGAAUGGAAAGCCUGUGUGAACUCUGGGAAGGAAGUCACUCACAAUCCUGAUCACAAUCCCCCAAUAUUUGGAUUAAUUAAUUAAUCAAUCACAGCUUCUGCAUUGCCACGACCCUGGUUGGCUUCUGGAAAAUUGCACUUCCCCACAUCUUUUAAAAGUAUUUUUCAAAGGGAUUUUUUUCAGAGGUUGCCACCACAGCAGUGACAAAACGAGUGGGAAGAAAACCAGAAGGGUCCUAUAUGUUUUCCUCCAGGAAUGAAGGAACACAAUGGUCCACGUGAGCUGGAAAACAAAAACCUCUAGAAGAUUAUAAUCUUUUUUUACCACCAAAGCCUGAAAGGGAGGACUUGCCUGAUCAAAUCGAAACUGUUUCUUCAGUGAAGGAAUUCCUGCUGAGGUCCCGCCUGAACCUCCCCUGGCACAGACCGAGGCCAUUUCCUCUUGUUCUGUCGCUGGAAAAUCUUGGCUCGAGAGCAGAGGGGCUGAAGAGAAAUUGCCAAAACUCUGAGUUAAUUAUGGCUGUUAGAUCCUGUCG